RNAcentral lists this ribosomal RNA (460 nucleotides) under uncultured bacterium. RNAcentral's name for it is "partial 16S ribosomal RNA". It matches the Rfam family "Bacterial small subunit ribosomal RNA", at positions 338 to 795 of the family's 1533-position model. The record is from RNAcentral.
CCUACGGGAGGCAGCAGUGAGGAAUAUUGGUCAAUGGACGAGAGUCUGAACCAGCCAAGUAGCGUGAAGGAUGACUGCCCUAUGGGUUGUAAACUUCUUUUAUACGGGAAUAAAACGCGGCACGUGUGCCUUUUUGCAUGUACUUUAUGAAUAAGGCUCGGCUAAUUCCGUGCCAGCAGCCGCGGUAAUACGGAGGAUCCGGGCGUUAUCCGGAUUUAUUGGGUUUAAAGGGAGCGUAGUCGGGUUGUUAAGCCAGCUGUGAAAUGUUGGGGGUCAACCCUAAAAUUGCAGUGGAUACUGGCAGGCUUGAGUACGGGGGAGGUAGGCGGAAUUCGUGGUGUAGCGGUGAAAUGCUUAGAUAUCACGAAGAACCCCGAUUGCGAAGGCAGCCUACUAAACUGUGACUGACGCUGAAGCUCGAAAGUGUGGGUAUCAAACAGGAUUAGAUACCCUAGUAGUC